Molecule: ribosomal RNA, 1522 nt
Filed under: Microbacterium trichothecenolyticum
Lineage: Bacteria; Bacillati; Actinomycetota; Actinomycetes; Micrococcales; Microbacteriaceae
Description: bacterial SSU rRNA
Rfam family: Bacterial small subunit ribosomal RNA
Source: RNAcentral
UUUACGGAGAGUUUGAUCCUGGCUCAGGAUGAACGCUGGCGGCGUGCUUAACACAUGCAAGUCGAACGGUGAAGCCAAGCUUGCUUGGUGGAUCAGUGGCGAACGGGUGAGUAACACGUGAGCAACCUGCCCUGGACUCUGGGAUAAGCGCUGGAAACGGCGUCUAAUACUGGAUAUGAGCUUUCACCGCAUGGUGGGGGUUGGAAAGAUUUUUCGGUCUGGGAUGGGCUCGCGGCCUAUCAGCUUGUUGGUGAGGUAAUGGCUCACCAAGGCGUCGACGGGUAGCCGGCCUGAGAGGGUGACCGGCCACACUGGGACUGAGACACGGCCCAGACUCCUACGGGAGGCAGCAGUGGGGAAUAUUGCACAAUGGGCGGAAGCCUGAUGCAGCAACGCCGCGUGAGGGAUGACGGCCUUCGGGUUGUAAACCUCUUUUAGCAGGGAAGAAGCGAGAGUGACGGUACCUGCAGAAAAAGCGCCGGCUAACUACGUGCCAGCAGCCGCGGUAAUACGUAGGGCGCAAGCGUUAUCCGGAAUUAUUGGGCGUAAAGAGCUCGUAGGCGGUUUGUCGCGUCUGCUGUGAAAUCCCGAGGCUCAACCUCGGGCCUGCAGUGGGUACGGGCAGACUAGAGUGCGGUAGGGGAGAUUGGAAUUCCUGGUGUAGCGGUGGAAUGCGCAGAUAUCAGGAGGAACACCGAUGGCGAAGGCAGAUCUCUGGGCCGUAACUGACGCUGAGGAGCGAAAGGGUGGGGAGCAAACAGGCUUAGAUACCCUGGUAGUCCACCCCGUAAACGUUGGGAACUAGUUGUGGGGACCAUUCCACGGUUUCCGUGACGCAGCUAACGCAUUAAGUUCCCCGCCUGGGGAGUACGGCCGCAAGGCUAAAACUCAAAGGAAUUGACGGGGACCCGCACAAGCGGCGGAGCAUGCGGAUUAAUUCGAUGCAACGCGAAGAACCUUACCAAGGCUUGACAUACACCAGAACACCGUAGAAAUACGGGACUCUUUGGACACUGGUGAACAGGUGGUGCAUGGUUGUCGUCAGCUCGUGUCGUGAGAUGUUGGGUUAAGUCCCGCAACGAGCGCAACCCUCGUUCUAUGUUGCCAGCACGUAAUGGUGGGAACUCAUGGGAUACUGCCGGGGUCAACUCGGAGGAAGGUGGGGAUGACGUCAAAUCAUCAUGCCCCUUAUGUCUUGGGCUUCACGCAUGCUACAAUGGCCGGUACAAAGGGCUGCAAUACCGUGAGGUGGAGCGAAUCCCAAAAAGCCGGUCCCAGUUCGGAUUGAGGUCUGCAACUCGACCUCAUGAAGUCGGAGUCGCUAGUAAUCGCAGAUCAGCAACGCUGCGGUGAAUACGUUCCCGGGUCUUGUACACACCGCCCGUCAAGUCAUGAAAGUCGGUAACACCUGAAGCCGGUGGCCUAACCCUUGUGGAGGGAGCCGUCGAAGGUGGGAUCGGUAAUUAGGACUAAGUCGUAACAAGGUAGCCGUACCGGAAGGUGCGGCUGGAUCACCUCCUUU